This 386-nucleotide ribosomal RNA is filed under the name uncultured bacterium. Its description in RNAcentral is "bacterial SSU rRNA". It matches the Rfam family "Bacterial small subunit ribosomal RNA", at positions 29 to 417 of the family's 1533-position model. The record is from RNAcentral.
AUUGAACGCUGGCGGCAUGCUUUACACAUGCAAGUCGAACGGCAGCGGGGGCUUCGGCCUGCCGGCGAGUGGCGAACGGGUGAGUAAUGCAUCGGAACGUACCCAGUCAUGGGGGAUAACUACGCGAAAGCGUAGCUAAUACCGCAUACGCCCUGAGGGGGAAAGCGGGGGAUCGCAAGACCUCGCGUGAUUGGAGCGGCCGAUGUCGGAUUAGCUAGUUGGUGGGGUAAAGGCCUACCAAGGCGACGAUCCGUAGCGGGUCUGAGAGGAUGAUCCGCCACACUGGGACUGAGACACGGCCCAGACUCCUACGGGAGGCAGCAGUGGGGAAUUUGGACAAUGGGGGCAACCCUGAUCCAGCCAUGCCGCGUGAGUGAAGAAGGCCU